UUUUAGCACCAGUAUAUAUUUAUUGUUAGAAGAUAAAGUAGAACUAUUAUACUUCUAUAAGUAUAAAAGAGUUGGUGUUUCUGAUUUUUUGAUUUUUGGAUUAAGAAUUGUAGGGUCGAGAUGAUAGUACUCCCCUCUAAGAUUUAAUGGUCCUUCAAGUAGAAUAAUAUAUUACUCCAAGUAUUAGAAAUUGUCAAAAGCAUUGAUCUAAGGGUUAAAAAAUGAAAGCAUCAUAGUCGAACUCAAUUAUUACCUACACUUAGUGCAUAUAUACAUUUAUUCACCGUUUAUUCAUCAAUUAUCUUUUCCACAAUAUAUUUCAAUCCUACCAUCCAAUAACCUAUAAUUUUUUUCUACACAAAACUUGAUCAUUA
RNAcentral lists this long non-coding RNA (374 nucleotides) under Ananas comosus (pineapple). RNAcentral describes it as "long non-coding RNA (ACOM_LNC038315)". Lineage: Eukaryota; Viridiplantae; Streptophyta; Magnoliopsida; Poales; Bromeliaceae. The record is from RNAcentral.